RNAcentral lists this long non-coding RNA (246 nucleotides) under Pan troglodytes (chimpanzee). RNAcentral's name for it is "long non-coding RNA NONPTRT002750". Lineage: Eukaryota; Metazoa; Chordata; Mammalia; Primates; Hominidae. The record is from RNAcentral.
AAUCUAUUUGAGAGACAUUUAAAGAAAUUUUUCAGCCAGGCGCGGUAGCUCAUAAAAAUUUUGAUUUUGUAUUAAAAAUUUUUAAAGCAUAUCAUAGACUUUUUUUCUUUCUAUUUUUUUUUUAGACAGGGUUUCACUCCCAUCGCCCAGGCUGGAGUCCAAUGGCACUAUCUGAGAACAUAUAUAAAAUACUCAGAGCAUGGUACAAAGUAAGGAUUCAAUAAAUGUCAGCUAUCAUUACUAGUA